AGUAACUGUUAUGGCCCAUUCCCUAGCCACGCCACCCCCCGCAGCCAGCCCUUCCCCUUUCUCCACCAAAUCUACGAAGAACACAACCACCCAUGUUCCAUCUCUAGGGUUUCACAGAGAUUCUAAGCCUCUCUCUCAUUGCAGUCUUCUCCAUCGCAGGUUAGUUCCUUUUGCGUUUCUAUAUAUACUAAUGAACACUUAGCAAAUGGGUAUUAAGAAUAUGUAAAUAUAUUAUAGGACGAUGAAUGGGUAAUAGCUCUCACCACUGCAUGCAUAUAUGUUAAACUUGGCGAAGUUGAUGAGAUAAGGUGUUGGUGCAGGACUGUGAGCUUGGGUUUGGCAGGUGCAUUGGUGGGCUUGAACAUUGGUGACCGGAGUGCUAAUGCAGCUGCUAGAAGGCCGCCACCUCCACCACCACAGGAGAAAAAGGACCCGAAUUUAAGUGGCGUGCAAGCGAAAGUUUUAGCUAGCAAGAAGAGGAAGGAAGCUAUGAAAGAGUUUGCGGCCAAGCAAAGAGAGAAAGGAAAACCCAUAAAUCAA
Molecule: long non-coding RNA, 540 nt
Filed under: Manihot esculenta (cassava)
Lineage: Eukaryota; Viridiplantae; Streptophyta; Magnoliopsida; Malpighiales; Euphorbiaceae
Description: long non-coding RNA (MESC_LNC002913)
Source: RNAcentral